This 414-nucleotide transfer-messenger RNA is filed under the name Puniceicoccales bacterium. It matches the Rfam family "transfer-messenger RNA". From Rfam's summary of the family: Bacterial tmRNA, also known as 10Sa RNA or SsrA, is named for its dual tRNA and mRNA-like properties. Its role is to liberate the mRNA from a stalled ribosome. The record is from RNAcentral. Lineage: Bacteria; Pseudomonadati; Verrucomicrobiota; Opitutia; Puniceicoccales.
GGGGGUGUCUUGGUUUCGACUGGGAACGGAAGUGUAUGGUGGCAUGGAGGAGAUAAUGGUUGGCUCCGUAAAAAUCCAUUACAAAAUUAAACGGCAAAAAGAAUAAAGCUGUUGCAACUCUGUACGUCGACAAUGUGGUGAGAAAUCUCGAUUUUGUCGGGGUCAUGAGCAAAGCUGCGUAGAUUAACGCGGCGCGCCGGUUCGCGGAAUGCUCGCUACCGCGGAUUCGGUGUCGAUUGGCGAGCGAAAUUCGAAGUAGACCGACAGCCUUCGAGUAGAUCCGAAACAGUCGGUUAGGCUAGGAUGAUUGCGUUUAUUCGAGAAUCGUAGCCGAAUUUCUAAAGUAAACUAAACAUGUAGAGGCCAUAUGUGAACGUUCUUAGGACGCGGGUUCGACUCCCGCCACCUCCACCA